UACCAGCUCUUCGAGUGGUGUGGAUGUUUAUUGGGCCUAAAGCAUCCGUAGCUGGCUGGGCAAGUCCCCUGUUAAAUCCACCGAUUUAAUCGUUGGAGUGCGGGGGAUACUGUUCGGCUAGGGGACGGGAGAGGCAGACGGUAUUUUCGGGGUAGGGGUGAAAUCCUAUAAUCCCGGGAAGACCACCAGUGGCGAAGGCUGUCGGCUAGAACGCGCCCGACGGUGAGGGAUGAAAGCUGGGGGAGCGAACCAGAUUAGAUACCCGGGUAGUCCCAGCUGUAAACGAUGCAGGCUAGGUGUUUGGGCGGCCACGUGCCGCUCUAGUGCCGCAGAGAAGUCGUUAAGCCUGCCGUCGUGGGGAGUACGGCCGCAAGGCUAGAAACUUAAGGAAUUGGGCGGGGAGUACCGACAAGGGGUGAAGCUUGACGGUUU
This 432-nucleotide ribosomal RNA is filed under the name uncultured archaeon. Its description in RNAcentral is "bacterial SSU rRNA". It matches the Rfam family "Archaeal small subunit ribosomal RNA", at positions 474 to 904 of the family's 1478-position model. The record is from RNAcentral.